Molecule: ribosomal RNA, 253 nt
Filed under: uncultured bacterium
Lineage: Bacteria
Description: partial 16S ribosomal RNA
Rfam family: Bacterial small subunit ribosomal RNA
Source: RNAcentral
UACGUAGGUGGCAAGCGUUGUCCGGAAUUACUGGGCGUAAAGGGCGUGUAGGCGGCCCAUUAAGUCAGACGUGAAAAUCAGGGGCUUAACCUCGGGAGUGCGUUUGAAACUGACGGGCUAGAGGAUCGGAGAGGGCAGUGGAAUUCCCAGUGUAGCGGUGAAAUGCGUAGAUAUUGGGAAGAACACCAGUGGCGAAGGCGGCUGCCUGGACGACACCUGACGCUGAGGCGCGAAAGCGAGGGGAUCAAACGGG